RNAcentral lists this transfer RNA (43 nucleotides) under Pabstiella mirabilis. Its description in RNAcentral is "partial tRNA-Thr". Lineage: Eukaryota; Viridiplantae; Streptophyta; Magnoliopsida; Asparagales; Orchidaceae. The record is from RNAcentral. RNAcentral also lists the same sequence under 1 other name.
CAUGGUAAGGCGUAAGUCAUCGGUUCAAAUCCGAUAAAGGGCU